UAUCUCUGUAGAGUCUGCAUAUCAAUAAGCGGAGGAAAAGAAACUAACUAGGAUUCCCUCAGUAACGGCGAGUGAAGCGGGAAGAGCUCAAAUUUGAAAUCUUCAAGGUUCUACCUUGACGAAUUGUAGUUUAAAGAAGUGUUUUCUGUUGGAGUUUUGGUAAAAGUUCUUUGGAAUAGGACAUCAUAGAGGGUGAGAAUCCCGUAUUUGACCAUUACUUUCCAGCGUUGUGAUACACUUUCAAAGAGUCGGAUUGUUUGGGAAUGCAGUCCAAAAUGGGUAGGUAAAUUUCAUCUAAAGCUAAAUAUUGGCGAGAGACCGAUAGCGAACAAGUACCGUGAGGGAAAGAUGAAAAGAACUUUGAAGAGAGAGUUAAACGGUACGUGAAAUUGUCAAAAGGGAAGCGUUUGACACCAGUGUUGUUUUCUCGAAAAUCAAUUAAAAAAGGCAGGAUUUUGUGUUGUAUUGACUUUAAUCAGCUUUCUUCACUCUUUUCAUUGUCUUUUUUAAUGCACUUUUCGUUUAACAAGUCAACAUCAAUUUCUUUUGUUGUAAAAGGGUCAUUGGAAGGUGGCUUUCUUUUCGGAGAAAGUGUUUAUAGCCUUUGGCCUCUGCAAUCGGAGAGAUUGAGGUCUGCAGCGUAGAUCCUUCGGGGUUAGAUACAUUUGUGCUAAGUUAUAGCCUUUCAUAGACAACUUGUUGACUAUGAUCAGUCAUGUAGCUUACUCGCCUAUGCUAUUUUACCUACGCUUAGGAUGUUGAGUCAUCACACAUCUCU
Molecule: ribosomal RNA, 778 nt
Filed under: uncultured Neocallimastigales
Lineage: Eukaryota; Fungi; Neocallimastigomycota; Neocallimastigomycetes; Neocallimastigales
Description: partial large subunit ribosomal RNA
Rfam family: Eukaryotic large subunit ribosomal RNA
Source: RNAcentral